Molecule: ribosomal RNA, 462 nt
Filed under: uncultured bacterium
Lineage: Bacteria
Description: partial 16S ribosomal RNA
Rfam family: Bacterial small subunit ribosomal RNA
Source: RNAcentral
GAUGAACGCUGACAGAAUGCUUAACACAUGCAAGUCAUGGGCGAAGCUGCGCUUGCGCAGUCUAGCCAAGGCGGACGGGUGAGUAACGCGUAAGGAACUUGCCCUGCAGACAGGGAUAACAGACGGAAACGACUGAUAACACCUUGCAUUGUCAGGCUGGCGCAUGCCGGCCUGAUGAAAGGAGACGCUGCAGGAGAGCCUUGCGUCCUAUUAGCUAGUUGGUGGGGUAACGGCCCACCAAGGCGAUGAUAGGUAGCCGGCCUGAGAGGGUGAACGGCCACAAGGGGACUGGGAUCCGGCGCUUACUCCUACGGGAGGCAGCAGUGGGGAAUAUUGGACAAUGGGGGCAACGCUGAUCCAGCACUUCUGUGUGCACGAAGAAGGUUUUCGGAUUGUAAAGUGCUUUCAGCAGGGAAGAAGAAAGUGACGGUACCUGCAGAAGAAGCGACGGCUAACUACGUG